This 468-nucleotide ribosomal RNA is filed under the name uncultured bacterium. RNAcentral describes it as "partial 16S ribosomal RNA". It matches the Rfam family "Bacterial small subunit ribosomal RNA", at positions 28 to 507 of the family's 1533-position model. The record is from RNAcentral.
GAUGAACGCUGGCGGCGUGCCUAACACAUGCAAGUCGAACGGAAAGGCCCUGCUCUUGUGGGGUGCUCGAUUGGCGAACGGGUGAGUAACACGUGUGUAACCUCUCCCUGUCUUUGGGAUAACUUUACGAAACUCGGGCUCUAAUCGGAUAGGAUCUUUUGCUGCAUGGUGUGGGAUGGAAAGAUUCGGCGGUAUGGGAUGGUCUAGAGGCUUAUCAGCUUGAUUGUGGGGUAGGGGCGUACGAAGGCUAUGACGGGUACGCUGCCUGAGAGGGUGACCGGCCACAUGAGGACUGAGAGACGGCCCAGACUCCUACGGGAGGCAGCAGGGGGGAAUAUUGCACAAUAGGCGGGAGUCAGAUGCAGCAGCGCCGCGUGCGGGAUGACGGCCUACUGGUUGUAAACAGCUUUCGCCGGUGCCGAACAGUGAGUGACGGUAAUGAAUAAGAAAGCACCGGCUAACUACGUG